Molecule: ribosomal RNA, 450 nt
Filed under: uncultured bacterium
Lineage: Bacteria
Description: partial 16S ribosomal RNA
Rfam family: Bacterial small subunit ribosomal RNA
Source: RNAcentral
GUGGGGAAUAUUGGACAAUGGGCGAAAGCCUGAUCCAGCCAUGCCGCGUGUGUGAAGAAGGUCUUCGGAUUGUAAAGCACUUUAAGUUGGGAGGAAGGGCAGUAAGUUAAUACCUUGCUGUUUUGACGUUACCAACAGAAUAAGCACCGGCUAACUUCGUGCCAGCAGCCGCGGUAAUACGAAGGGUGCAAGCGUUAAUCGGAAUUACUGGGCGUAAAGCGCGCGUAGGUGGUUUUGUAAGUUGGAGGUUAAAUCCCCGGGCUCAACCUGGGAACUGCCUCCAAAACUGCAUGACUAGAGUACGGUAGAGGGUAGUGGAAUUUCCUGUGUAGCGGUGAAAUGCGUAGAUAUAGGAAGGAACACCAGUGGCGAAGGCGACUACCUGGACUGAUACUGACACUGAGGUGCGAAAGCGUGGGGAGCAAACAGGAUUAGAAACCCGAGUAGUCC